CUCAAACUUUAUAACGUUAGUCAACCAGACUGUGGAAGCCUCACCACGGGUUCAAGUUGCGAAUCGCAAAAAUUCUGAUCGUUAAAAUCAAAGAAGAUGUGAUCAUAUUAACAUGAUCGGGGUUUAUAACGGACCUGAAGUUCCUUUCAAUGACAAAGCAGACACUCUUAGUGCUCCUAUUUCAAUAAAAAUGAAAAUAAAAAAGCCCAACGAGUGUAUCUACAUUAAAAUGUAGCUGACGUUGACUGUUUUUACCGAUGGUUCAUUCGUCCGCGGACAAAACAAUGUAAUACUAACACCUAUUCAUGAUUAGCUACUUUAUGCGAUAAUUUAAAAUUGAUGAUAGCCGUGCAGUACCGUUAUUGACGAAUAGUAGCGACCCUUAGCUAUCUAUGGGUAUCGUAAAAGGCGAAUAAUGAUCAGAAAGGGGGGAAAUCAAGACCAUUCGGUGGAUUUAUCCGAUUCCAGUUGGGCUACAAUGUUUUUGUAUAAUUUGGUGUAUAAUUUAGAAUUUUAGUAAUUUUUUUUUAUAUAUUUAUUAAUUCGGAUCUCUCUCAAUACCAUUUAUGUAUCUAUCGAAAGCGUUAAAAAACUCGCACUCAGCACACUGUUAUGUUUAAUUAAUAUAAUGGUGUUGAUGUUACAAAUGAGAUUGUUACGUUUAAUGUUACUCUAUGUACCUUGUUGUUUAUUGUAUCUCUUUCUAUUUUCAAACACUUACAUUUUGUUUAAUUUCAU
Molecule: long non-coding RNA, 738 nt
Organism: Bombyx mandarina (wild silkworm)
Lineage: Eukaryota; Metazoa; Arthropoda; Insecta; Lepidoptera; Bombycidae
Source: RefSeq, a predicted model, not a curated record